RNAcentral lists this ribosomal RNA (232 nucleotides) under uncultured bacterium. Its description in RNAcentral is "partial 16S ribosomal RNA". It matches the Rfam family "Bacterial small subunit ribosomal RNA", at positions 99 to 334 of the family's 1533-position model. The record is from RNAcentral.
CGGACGGGUGAGUAACGCGUAGGAAUCUGCCCAACAGCGGGGGACAACCUGGAGAAAUCCAGGCUAAUACCGCAUACGCCCUACGGGGGAAAGACGGGGAUCUUCGGACCUGUCACUGUUGGAUGAGCCUGCGUUAGAUUAGCUUGUUGGUGGGGUAAUGGCCUACCAAGGCGACGAUCUAUAGCUGGUCUGAGAGGAUGAUCAGCCACACUGGGACUGAGACACGGCCCAG